Molecule: small nuclear RNA, 273 nt
Filed under: Heterocephalus glaber (naked mole-rat)
Lineage: Eukaryota; Metazoa; Chordata; Mammalia; Rodentia; Bathyergidae
Description: 7SK RNA
Rfam family: 7SK RNA
About the family: 7SK was discovered as an abundant small nuclear RNA in the mid-70s but a possible function has only recently been suggested. Two independent studies have found that 7SK RNA binds the CDK9/cyclin T complex (known as elongation factor P-TEFb).
Source: Rfam by way of RNAcentral
GGAUGUAGGGCUAUCUGGUUAUGACAUCUGUCACCUCAUUGAUCACCAGCAUUGAUUUUUCGACUGAUCUGGCUGGCUAGGCUGACCAACCUGGAUCUGAUCUGACUGACCACCCUGGAUAGAGGAGGACCGUUUCCUCAGUUAAGGGAAUGAGUAGCUGUGCUCCCCUGCUAGAACCUUCAAACAAGCUCUAAAAAAAGGCUAGUAAUAUAAUGGGAAGGACUUGUGUUCAAUCCCCAGUACCUCUCAAAAAAAGGAAGUCCUCCAUCAUGU